GACGUAGGGGGCCAGCGUUGCUCGGAAUUACUGGGUGUAAAGGGUUCGUAGGCGGUGUGGCAAGUCGGGAGUGAAAUCUCUGGGCUCAACCCAGAGUCUGCUUCCGAAACUGCUGUGCUUGAGUGUGGGAGAGGCGCGUGGAAUUGCAGGUGUAGCGGUGAAAUGCGUAGAUAUCUGCAGGAACACCCGUGGCGAAAGCGGCGCGCUGGACCACUACUGACGCUGAGGAACGAAAGCCAGGGGAGCGAACGGG
This 253-nucleotide ribosomal RNA is filed under the name uncultured bacterium. RNAcentral's name for it is "partial 16S ribosomal RNA". It matches the Rfam family "Bacterial small subunit ribosomal RNA", at positions 524 to 776 of the family's 1533-position model. The record is from RNAcentral.